This 267-nucleotide non-coding RNA is filed under the name Cathartes aura (turkey vulture). Its description in RNAcentral is "Eukaryotic large subunit ribosomal RNA". It matches the Rfam family "Eukaryotic large subunit ribosomal RNA", at positions 2588 to 2804 of the family's 3401-position model. Lineage: Eukaryota; Metazoa; Chordata; Aves; Accipitriformes; Cathartidae. The record is from Rfam by way of RNAcentral.
ACCCUUCUCCGGGUACAGCGUCAGGUGGGGAGUGUGGCUGGGGCAGUACACCUGUCAAACCAUAAGGCAGGUCUCCUAAGGCGAGCUCAGGGAGGACAGAAACCUCCUACAAAGGAGAAGGGCAAAAGCUUACUUGAUCUUGACUUUCAGUACGAAUACAGACCGUGAAAGCAGGGCCUCAUGAUCCUUCUGACUUUUUGGGUUUUGUCCAAAACUCCAUAUUAUGUUUAUGCCUUAAAUUGUAAUUGUUAUUUUUCAGAAGGAGGU